GAUGAACGCUGGCGGCGUGCCUAAUACAUGCAAGUCGAGCGAACGGACGAGAAGCUUGCUUCUCUGAUGUUAGCGGCGGACGGGUGAGUAACACGUGGAUAACCUACCUAUAAGACUGGGAUAACUUCGGGAAACCGGAGCUAAUACCGGAUAAUAUUUUGAACCGCAUGGUUCAAAAGUGAAAGACGGUCUUGCUGUCACUUAUAGAUGGAUCCGCGCUGCAUUAGCUAGUUGGUAAGGUAACGGCUUACCAAGGCAACGAUGCAUAGCCGACCUGAGAGGGUGAUCGGGCACAAUGGAACCGAGACACGGGCCAGACUCCUACGGGAGGCAGCAGGAGGGAAUCUUUCGCAAUGGGCGAAAGCCUGACGGAGCAAAGCCGCGGGAGUGAUGAAGGUCCUCCGAUUGGAAAACCCUGUUAAUAGGGAAGAAAAAAUGUGUAAGUAAAUGGUCACAUCCUGACGGUACCCAAUUAGAAAGCCACGGCUAACUACGUG
RNAcentral lists this ribosomal RNA (497 nucleotides) under uncultured bacterium. Its description in RNAcentral is "partial 16S ribosomal RNA". It matches the Rfam family "Bacterial small subunit ribosomal RNA", at positions 28 to 507 of the family's 1533-position model. The record is from RNAcentral.